This 1369-nucleotide ribosomal RNA is filed under the name uncultured bacterium. RNAcentral describes it as "bacterial SSU rRNA". It matches the Rfam family "Bacterial small subunit ribosomal RNA", at positions 28 to 1381 of the family's 1533-position model. The record is from RNAcentral.
GACGAACGCUCGCUGCGUGCCUAAUACAUGCAAGUAGAACGCUGAAGAGAGGAGCUUGCUCUUCUUGGAUGAGUUGCGAACGGGUGAGUAACGCGUAGGUAACCUGCCUUGUAGCGGGGGAUAACUAUUGGAAACGAUAGCUAAUACCGCAUAACAAUGGAUGACACAUGUCAUUUAUUUGAAAGGGGCAAUUGCUCCACUACAAGAUGGACCUGCGUUGUAUUAGCUAGUAGGUGAGGUAACGGCUCACCUAGGCGACGAUACAUAGCCGACCUGAGAGGGUGAUCGGCCACACUGGGACUGAGACACGGCCCAGACUCCUACGGGAGGCAGCAGUAGGGAAUCUUCGGCAAUGGGGGCAACCCUGACCGAGCAACGCCGCGUGAGUGAAGAAGGUUUUCGGAUCGUAAAGCUCUGUUGUAAGUCAAGAACGAGUGUGAGAGUGGAAAGUUCACACUGUGACGGUAGCUUACCAGAAAGGGACGGCUAACUACGUGCCAGCAGCCGCGGUAAUACGUAGGUCCCGAGCGUUGUCCGGAUUUAUUGGGCGUAAAGCGAGCGCAGGCGGUUUGAUAAGUCUGAAGUUAAAGGCUGUGGCUCAACCAUAGUUCGCUUUGGAAACUGUCAAACUUGAGUGCAGAAGGGGAGAGUGGAAUUCCAUGUGUAGCGGUGAAAUGCGUAGAUAUAUGGAGGAACACCGGUGGCGAAAGCGGCUCUCUGGUCUGUAACUGACGCUGAGGCUCGAAAGCGUGGGGAGCGAACAGGAUUAGAUACCCUGGUAGUCCACGCCAUAAACGAUGAGUGCUAGGUGUUGGAUCCUUUCCGGGAUUCAGUGCCGCAGCUAACGCAUUAAGCACUCCGCCUGGGGAGUACGACCGCAAGGUUGAAACUCAAAGGAAUUGACGGGGGCCCGCACAAGCGGUGGAGCAUGUGGUUUAAUUCGAAGCAACGCGAAGAACCUUACCAGGUCUUGACAUCCCGAUGCUAUUUCUAGAGAUAGAAAGUUACUUCGGUACAUCGGUGACAGGUGGUGCAUGGUUGUCGUCAGCUCGUGUCGUGAGAUGUUGGGUUAAGUCCCGCAACGAGCGCAACCCCUAUUGUUAGUUGCCAUCAUUCAGUUGGGCACUCUAGCGAGACUGCCGGUAAUAAACCGGAGGAAGGUGGGGAUGACGUCAAAUCAUCAUGCCCCUUAUGACCUGGGCUACACACGUGCUACAAUGGUUGGUACAACGAGUUGCGAGUCGGUGACGGCAAGCUAAUCUCUUAAAGCCAAUCUUAGUUCGGAUUGUAGGCUGCAACUCGCCUACAUGAAGUCGGAAUCGCUAGUAAUCGCGGAUCAGCACGCCGCGGUGAAUACGUUCCCGGACCG